Gadus macrocephalus (Pacific cod) is the source of this 3144-nucleotide long non-coding RNA. RefSeq lists it as uncharacterized. The transcript has 2 exons. NCBI's taxonomy places the organism in Eukaryota, Metazoa, Chordata, Actinopteri, Gadiformes, Gadidae. The record is from RefSeq and is a predicted model, not a curated record.
AGAUUGAGGGUUGGACUAUCAAAGUAAUUUCCUUUGUUGUGACCUUCCCGCCAAAGCCUAAGUUAAUGCCCCGUUUGACUAGUCUUGCUGGCAUUAACAGCAACACCCUUUGACAGGAAUCAGGAAAGGCUCAGUAAGUGGCCAUCCGGACUGACGGUGACUGGACUGGACUGGUAUUUGUGUGCGUGUGCGUUUGUCCGAAUAAGGGAUGCGUGUGCUGGACGGUCAAACAACUUGCCUUGUAGAACCUUCGGAGCAGAUGUAGACUCUCUUCCCGUGCGCCCUGAGAACCGACAGAGACAGCAAUAUUAUUGUAAACACGCUCCGUCACACAAACGCCCUGACCCUGAUGCCGUGUCGACACAUCAUGUUUGGGACACACAUUCACGUCGCUGGAAAUUAUGGGGGGGAAACAUUUUCGUGACGUCAGAAAGUUCUCGUGAACGACCCCUCCUGACGCUGUUAUGAUUCAACUUCCGUUCAGCAACUGGUGCCAGAUUUUGAUAACAGAGUUGCCCAGUUGGUGACGUGUGGUUUACUACUGACGCGCAUGAACAUGGUGGAGCAUGAAUGUUUCACUCAAUAUAAAAGAAUCAACCAUCAUAUCACAUACUUUACUAUUGAUUGACGUUGUGAACGUCUGUUUGCAUAGACUUUGCUCAAUUGUAACCGUUGUGUACUGGUAAACCAGCUCUCGAUAAGUGUGGCCUUCUAUACAGGGGCAAUACUGUAUGUACUCCUCAUAAAUAAAAGCAAAAGGAUAGUAGGUGAUAGGCAUCAAGGAAAUAAAGGCAUGCAAUCAUGAAACUGAUCCUACUAUUGUUUAGUUCCGACUGUUUAUCGGAUAAAAAGCCCUGCUGUGAAGAACUUUGAGAUUCCCAACGCAGUGAUCUUGAACGGACGCUGUCGGGAACACGCGUCAUCACUGGCGAGCCGUUUCGUUAUCGCCAGGACGAUGAAUGCCCCUAAAGUGCCCUUGAAGGGCUGAGCUAAACAAAGCUCUAUUGAAUAUAGAAGAAUAAAAACAAAUACGUUUAUUAGACCCAAAAUUAUUUGUUUGCGUAUGGAACUUGAUCUAUUGAUUUUUGUAUUACAUUUCUUGUUCUAAGUCAAUUUCGUCACUUGAUUUAAACUGUUUUAUUUUAUUUAUUUGAUGUCCUUUAUUUGUAUUUAAUGUGUGCCGUCUGCAUUAUUCCUGUAAAGUCUGGAUCACCACAGAAUCUUGGGCCAAACCCUAUUUUAUCUGAGAUGCGAUAUAAAAUUGGAACUUCAGAAGAAAACAAUUCAAGUGGGCCUUGUUGUUCCCCCCUAAGAGCGGGACCACGUGGGGAAACGUGUGACUACGGGAGUGAAAACAAACAUUAGGUCCCCACUUGUUUGUUAAACGUGAUGGAAACAAGUGGCUGAAGGGAACUAAACGCAGUCUGCUGAGAAGAGGGCAGCAAAGGGAAGAAUAAGGCCAGAGGUUCAAAUCCACUUUACCAGGAAAAUUUAGGAAUAACAGGCGAAAAAGUGGGAAAAAGUGGUGGGACAUGAUAGUGGAACAAAGUGGUUUCUUGGAAACCGAAGGAGAGCGAAAAGAAAGAGAAAGAAUCUGGACUUGUGAUAAUGAAAGCGAGAUAAGAAAAAUUAUCUAAUCUUUCAUUUUCUAUUGUGAUUGAGUUUGGCGUCGCAUGGACAAGUAGACAAUUAAAGAUCUAAAGGAUUGAUAAAUAAAUUGAGUUAGUUCAUUUUAUAUGGUUAAACAAAGUUAAUCAAUACAUAACCAUACAUUUGUGUAUUAGUUUGUCAUUUACUCAUCUAUGAAUUUAUGAUGAAUGAGUAUGCAAUAAACACUACACGUUCAGGCUCUCUCGGGCCUGAACAGGGUAUAUGCAGGAAUCAGAGAUGAAUUUACUACCUUUUUUAUUACCUCCACAAUAUUUUUUACUACCAACACGACAUCAAGCAGCGGGGGCGGGGGGUAUGCAAAGCACCACUUACUACUAACUAUAAGCUAUACAUGUGGCACUGCCGCGGUCCCUGUAGCCCUAGUGCUGCUAAUGCUAGCGCCACAGAACAACGACAGAGAGUAGAGGUCUGCACUCCCGCGGGACGCGGGACAAAUGAAAGCUCAUUGCGGGUGCGGGCGGGGUGAUAGAGUGCACUCCCGCAAAUCAAUAUGAGGGUAAAGUAAAUCUACAAAUUAUCAUGAAGCCCUCAUCAAUAAGCAAAACCUAAUUUUCCAACAACUUUUCCUUCAUGAUCGAAGCAGCAGCUGUUUCUUUUACCGUUCAUCUUUCAUUUUUCAUUUAGACGUGCUGGUACCGACCUGCAGAGUUUUUAUUUUUUUAAUAUGCGACUGUUUCCUGUUCCAGUCACUGAGGCCUAUUUAAUGUUUUGUAUGGUUGAAAACAUGCAGGCUUACCAAUAAAUAUGUUACCAAUACUGGUAGCCGAAGGAAUUAUGUGCGCUAGGGUUGCCGCGGUGUGGACAUUUUCACACCGAGUAAUACGCUCGUGUCAACACCGGUAUUACCGGUAUAAACUUUGAAACUAUAGGUCAACCGCCAUCUUCUCCGUCAACUCUCCUCUCACACUCGGUGACAGCGGCUGGCAGCGCGCCAAUUCUCUGCGUCUUAUAACGUUCUAUAUAUAAUAGUAUAAUCUAAUUUCACGGCCAAAAGCUCUGUGCGCCUCCGGAUGGCCGUAGCGCGGGGAGCUCACGUAGGGAUUGGGCUUCGCAGGGUUUGUUUACCGGCGUUGCUAUGGUUACCGGUCUUGUAAGGAAGCACGUCAAUUCUCGGCGCGACAAUUCUCCCGCACAGAGCAGAACUGUGGCCUAUUCUACACAUUUUCGUAAUUAUAAUUAUAUUAUUCAUUUUUACUGAAUUAGUUUUUUAUUACUGAAAAAAUAAAAAUUGGUGUGGCCGGUGUGCAACACCGAGUAAACGGUGUUGGCCUCAACACCGGUAACACCGGUAAUACCGUAUACCGCGGCAACCCUAAUGUGCGCGCUCGUUUUUUUUUCCAAGCCAAUGGAAAGGCCUUUCCUGAGACAGAAAGUGAACAUCCAUCCUUGCGGGCAUUUGCGAGCGGGAGCGGGAUAUAAUAUCAUAGAUGCGGGCGGGAGCGGGACAAAAAAUUACAGUUCUUUGCGUGAACG